AUUGAACGCUGGCGGCAGGCCUAACACAUGCAAGUCGAGCGGAUGAAGGGAGCUUGUUCCUGGUUUUAGCGGCGGACGGGUGAGUAAUGCCUAGGAAUCUGCCUGGUAGUGGGGGAUAACGUCCGGAAACGGGCGCUAAUACUGCAUACGUCCUGAGGGAGAAAGUGGGGGAUCUUUGGACCUCAUGCUAUCAGAUGAGUCUAGGUCGGAUUAGCUAGUUGGUGGGGUAAAGGCCUACCAAGGCGACGAUCCGUAACUGGUCUGAGAGGAUGAUCAGUCACACUGGAACUGGAACACGGUCCAUACUCCUACGGGAGGCAGCAGUGGGGAAUAUUAGACAAUAGGCGAAAACCUGGUCCAACCAUGCCACGUGUGUGAAGAAGGUCUUCGGAUUGUAAAGCACUUUAAGUUGGGAGGAAGGGCAGUAAGUUAAUACCUUGCUGUUUUGACGUUACCAACAAAAUAAGCACCGGCUAACUACGUG
This 484-nucleotide ribosomal RNA is filed under the name uncultured bacterium. Its description in RNAcentral is "partial 16S ribosomal RNA". It matches the Rfam family "Bacterial small subunit ribosomal RNA", at positions 30 to 507 of the family's 1533-position model. The record is from RNAcentral.